RNAcentral lists this small nuclear RNA (333 nucleotides) under Neogale vison (American mink). RNAcentral describes it as "Neovison vison (American mink) 7SK RNA (ENSNVIG00000005400.1)". It matches the Rfam family "7SK RNA". From Rfam's summary of the family: 7SK was discovered as an abundant small nuclear RNA in the mid-70s but a possible function has only recently been suggested. Two independent studies have found that 7SK RNA binds the CDK9/cyclin T complex (known as elongation factor P-TEFb). The record is from Rfam by way of RNAcentral. Lineage: Eukaryota; Metazoa; Chordata; Mammalia; Carnivora; Mustelidae.
GGAUGUGAGGGUGAUCUGGCUACGACAUCUGUCACCCCAUUGAUGGACAGGAUUGAUUAAGCUGAUCUGGCUUGCUAUGCAGGUAUCCCCUUCCUCCCUCACCACACCACGUUCCUGCUUCCCAAAACUGCCUGCUCAGUCGAAGAGGAUGACCUUCCCAGAUGCAAGAGAGGACCAUUCUUCAGUCAAGGGCGUACAAGGAGCUGCGCUCCUCUGCUAGAACCUCCAAAAAAGCUCUCAGGGUCCAUUUGUAGGAGAAGGUAGGGUAGUCAAGCUUCCAAGACUCCAGACAUAUCCAGAUGAGGUGCUGUAUGUGGCAGUCUGCCUUUCUUA